This 497-nucleotide ribosomal RNA is filed under the name uncultured bacterium. RNAcentral's name for it is "partial 16S ribosomal RNA". It matches the Rfam family "Bacterial small subunit ribosomal RNA", at positions 28 to 507 of the family's 1533-position model. The record is from RNAcentral.
GAUGAACGCUGGCGGCGUGCCUAAUUCAUGCAAGUCGAGCGCACGGACGAGAAGCUUUCUUCUCUUAUUUUAGCGGCGGACGUGUGAGUAACACGUGGAUAACCUACCUAUAAGACUGGGAUAACUUCCUGAAACCGGAGCUAAUACCGGAUGAUAUUUUGAACCGCAUGGUUCAAAAGUGAAAGACGGUCUUGCUGUCACUUAUAGCUGGAUCCUCGCUUCAUUAGCUAGUUGGUAAGGUAACGGCUUACCAAGGCAACGAUGCAUAGCCGACCUGAGAGGGUGAUCGGCCACACUGGAACUGAGACACGGUCCAGAAUCCUACGGGAGGCAGCAGUAGGGAAUCUUCCGAAAUGGGCGAAAGCCUGACGGAGCAACGCCGCGUGAGUGAUGAAGGUCUUCGGAUCGUAAAACUCUGGUAGUAGGGAAGAACAUAUGUGUAAGUAACUGUGCACAUCUUGACGGUACCUAAUCAGAAAGCCACGGCUAACUACGUG